RNAcentral lists this ribosomal RNA (253 nucleotides) under uncultured bacterium. RNAcentral describes it as "partial 16S ribosomal RNA". It matches the Rfam family "Bacterial small subunit ribosomal RNA", at positions 524 to 776 of the family's 1533-position model. The record is from RNAcentral.
UACGUAGGGUGCGAGCGUUAAUCGGAAUUACUGGGCGUAAAGCGUGCGCAGGCGGUUUCGUAAGACAGAUGUGAAAUCCCCGGGCUUAACCUGGGAACUGCGUUUGUGACUGCGAGACUCGAGUGUGGCAGAGGGGGGUGGAAUUCCGCGUGUAGCAGUGAAAUGCGUAGAUAUGCGGAGGAACACCGAUGGCGAAGGCAAUCCCCUGGGCCUGCACUGACGCUCAUGCACGAAAGCGUGGGGAGCAAACAGG